CCUACGGGAGGCUGCAGUGGGGAAUAUUGGACAAUGGGCGAAAGCCUGAUCCAGCCAUGCCGCGUGUGUGAAGAAGGCCUUCGGGUCGUAAAGCACUUUCAGUGGGGAAGAAAGCCUUGGGGCUAAUACCCUCGAGGAAGGACAUCACCCACAGAAGAAGCACCGGCUAACUCCGUGCCAGCAGCCGCGGUAAUACGGAGGGUGCGAGCGUUAAUCGGAAUUACUGGGCGUAAAGCGCGCGUAGGCGGUCUGAUAAGCCGGUUGUGAAAGCCCCGGGCUCAACCUGGGAACGGCAUCCGGAACUGUCAGGCUAGAGUGCAGGAGAGGAAGGUAGAAUUCCCGGUGUAGCGGUGAAAUGCGUAGAGAUCGGGAGGAAUACCAGUGGCGAAGGCGGCCUUCUGGACUGACACUGACGCUGAGGUGCGAAAGCGUGGGUAGCAAACAGGAUUAGAUACCCCGGUAGUC
RNAcentral lists this ribosomal RNA (465 nucleotides) under Vreelandella stevensii. RNAcentral describes it as "partial 16S ribosomal RNA". It matches the Rfam family "Bacterial small subunit ribosomal RNA", at positions 338 to 795 of the family's 1533-position model. The record is from RNAcentral. Lineage: Bacteria; Pseudomonadati; Pseudomonadota; Gammaproteobacteria; Oceanospirillales; Halomonadaceae.